AGACCAUCUUCUCUCCGAAGCCCAUGCUAUGCCCCUCACACCCAUUCCCCAGCGCCUGGCCAGUUGUGGGCGCUCAAUAAAUAUUAAACAACCAAAGCACGAAGUAUUGUCAAAAAGUUUAGAAUUCACAGGAAUCUAUAAUAUUAUCAUAAUUUAACAUUUAUUGAGGGUCAACAGCAUGACUUAGUCAACAUAUGCAAAUAAGUUAUUUUAAAAAUACAUAUUAAGCAAAUAAUUAAAUACAAUUGUGUUAACUAAAUCUUCUGUUUUACUUCAUUGAUUUUAAAUGUAAAAUUGUUUCUGUCUUUUUUUAUAACUUUGGUACACCAAGAAAUAUGAACAUUCAUUAUAUUCAAAUGGAUAAAGUUUUCUCAGGGAAAUCAUUACUCUUAGAUAUUAUUAGCAUUCACUUGAAAGUAUGGAAUAAAUCUACAAUCAGUACACAUCACAGAUUUUAAAAAGACCAGUGCAUACACAAAGAAGAGAAGAAUCUGAUAAGGUGGAUGAGGACAGUGAUAGAUUUACAAAGCUUGCAAUAGCACUUGGGUUUUGCCUGGUGUUGUGACAACGUAAAACACUAUUACAAUUAUGUAGGGAACCAUUGUUUACAGAAUAGCAUCAAAAGCAAAGAAAGAAACUCUUCAAGUGGACACAAAUUAGCCCAUUUAUGAAUUUUGAAACAUUCCUUAAUUUAAGGCAAAGUUGAAUAUUUUAUUAUAGUGAACUCUGAUACAUUUAUGAUCAACAGGCUCCAACUUUAUACUUAAUAAAAUGUUUACUAACUGUGUUAAAAUUUAUUCUUGAUGGUUAGUAGACAAAUCUUAUUUAAUUACCUAAAAAUAUUUUUGUCGUGUUUCUUCUUAACUGACUGUCGAAGUGAUUUUUAAUUCUUAAGAGAACUGAAUACUACAUUAUUCUGUAAUAAAACUUUCAACUUAAUUUUGAGAUACUGGAAUAUCCAUAGUAUUUAAGUCCAGAGAUUCAAUAUGCACAAUUAUACUCAGAUCACAAAGUGUACUUAAACUCUAUUAAGAGUAACAAAAAUCAUAUAAUUUUUCUAAAUAAAGUCCACAUGUUUAAACAAAUAAAUAAAAUAAAUAUUUAAAGAGAAUUUAACUAUAUUUCAAUGAAUUAUAAACUAAUAGAUUAUUUAUACUUCUGAAGAUAACUAAAAACUAUGUAAGAAAGCAAAGUAUACAAGUCUUAAAGCAUUAUGCAUAACUAUUAGAAUAUGGGACAAUUUAUAGAAUGUCAUUAUUACUUCUCAUAUUACUUUAUUAAAAGCACAAAAUAUCUAUUUUUUGUAUCAGUUAUUAGUAAUAGAUAUACUAUCAUAAAAAUAUGCAAAAUAUCCAAAUAUAUUAUUUCCUAUGAUUGUUAUGAUUGAAAAAUAUGAGGCCAUUGUCAUACAAUAUUUAAAAUUGAAAUGAUUUACCAAGUCAAUAUAAAAAUAGCCAUUGAAAGAACCUCAUUUUUUUCACACAAUCCAAGAGCCUAAGCUUUAAUAAGAUAAAAGAAGAUUUUAGUAAACAAAAUUAUAAAAUCAUCUGAAGGAGUAAGAUCCUAUCUCUAAGAACCAUUUCCAGUCUCUUGUCCACUAGAGGAGACAUUAUAAAAUUAAUGAAACUGACACCAAUGUGAUGAUCAGAAGAAAGAAACAAUGUUUUCAAAUCAAUUGUCUGUUUGGUACUAUUAUUAGUGUGGGUGUUUUAUAUCUAGUCAAUCUUCUUUUGAUAUACUGUGGCUAUGAAAACAACCUAUGAAUAUCAUGAGUAAUCAGCACUUUUAUACUAGAGGGGGAAAGCUAUAAAACUCAAUGAAAUCAAAGUAAUUUGAUAAUUUAUGUCAUCUGUGUUGAAAUUGAUUUUAUAAGAAAAAAUGCCUAAGUAUCUGUUACAUGCUUAUCUAGAAGUUUACACAUUUUCAUAUCCUUUCACAUAUGUUUUCAUGUUUGCCCUAUACAACAUCUUCUCAGAUGGGCAGAUCAGGGAUAAUUACCUUUAUUUUUUAAAAAAAUAAAUUUAGACUCAGGAACACGCAUAAAUGAACACACUGAAAUUAGGAUCCAGUGCUCCCACUUUAUAUUUCAGAAACUAAAAUUCCACUCUUCUUCAAAAAGAAACCAACAGAAACAUCUACUGAACUGUAAAAUUUCAGAGUCCCCAGAAGCCAGAAUAAAUUGGAAAACAUUUUCCAUGCAAUUAUAAAGGGAUUUUAUUUUGAAAAGCCCAAGGAAAUAAAUUCUUAACCAAUCUUUUUACUUAACUGAAUUCUUAACCUUAGUUUACUUAUUUGACAUGUGAGGGAUUGAAGGAUUUUCUUGAUAUAUUUAUGUCAAAAGAUCUUAACUUCUGAUAUUAGGAUUUCAUACAUUUAAUUGCAUCUCAAAUUUGAAGGAGAAAUCAUUUAGACUUUGUUCUUGAUAAAAUUAUUGCAAGUUCUAAUUUAAUUUAUUACAAUAAAUAUAGUAUUAUUAUAUAAGAGCAAUGACAUGAGGGAACGACAAUUAAAAUUAUUAGCACACUUGAGCUCUAAGAGAAGCCACAUCACUUUAAAUGUUUUAAGUUUAGUGUACUGUAGCAUUUUUCUCAAGCAGAGUCUGGAGUGAUCUAUUUAUGAUAUAACUACAUAAAUACAAAUAAAAUGCAUUAACUAUUUUAUACCAUUAUGAUUUAUAACACUGAAAUUUCAGACCUCUUGGGAGAAUGGUUGAAGUCAUAAUAUAGUAUAUAUCAUAAUAUACUCUAUUUUUGCUGUUAUUUUCUUCAUUUUAACUUUUACAUAUUUUUUUUCAAGCAACAGAAAUAGUUUUUGCAUGUAUAGGAUUGGGCCAUCUUUAUUUUUCAAAUUAUAAUCAGUAAGGUGGUGUUAAAACCACAAAUCAAAUAGGAAUAUGUCUACCAGUUACCCUGGAUCAUUGUCUUAUUCCCAGCAAUCUUCAGCAUGUCCCCUGAUGUAAUUAAACAGUUUGGGGAGUUUCCCUGUUCGGAACUGAUAUUCAAAGUUCAGUUACACAAAAGAAAGACCAACCCAGAUUGCUGUCUCACAUUCUCCCUGGCACAGAAAAACAUGCAAGGACAGUGAUAAAGAGUAAUAGACUUAAAGGUUAUUGUCUUCCGCCUGUCUGAAUCCAGUGCUUUCCUCCGCAUGUUGUUGUCUUUCUAAAGAAGAUAAUGUCAACCUCCUUCAUUUUUUUUUACCUUGCUCCACUGUCUUGGUUGUUUUCUCUUCCUUCUUUCCAGGUACAGCUGC
Molecule: long non-coding RNA, 3252 nt
Filed under: Homo sapiens (human)
Lineage: Eukaryota; Metazoa; Chordata; Mammalia; Primates; Hominidae
Description: HSALNT0112660
Source: RNAcentral